RNAcentral lists this small nuclear RNA (274 nucleotides) under Salvator merianae (Argentine black and white tegu). RNAcentral describes it as "7SK RNA (ENSSMRG00000013027.1)". It matches the Rfam family "7SK RNA". From Rfam's summary of the family: 7SK was discovered as an abundant small nuclear RNA in the mid-70s but a possible function has only recently been suggested. Two independent studies have found that 7SK RNA binds the CDK9/cyclin T complex (known as elongation factor P-TEFb). P-TEFb activates transcription by phosphorylating the C-terminal domain of RNA polymerase II. Lineage: Eukaryota; Metazoa; Chordata; Lepidosauria; Squamata; Teiidae. The record is from RNAcentral.
GGAUUUGAGGGUAAUCUGACUGCAACAUCUCAUUGGUCACCAGGGUUGAANUGGCUGAUCUGGCUGAUGGUUGACCCCUUCCUCCUUCACUACUCCCUGGACAUCCCUCCUGCAACUGCAUACUUGGUGGAAGACAAUGAUUGUCUGAGAUAGGAGUGUACCAUUCUUCAGUCAAAGCUGCUCCCUUACUAGAACCUCCAAACAAAUGGACAUUUCAGCAGGAAACACUUUGCGCACUCAAGGGUUGAAGUCAUUUCUGGACUAUACCAUGCUU